This 253-nucleotide ribosomal RNA is filed under the name uncultured Eubacteriales bacterium. RNAcentral's name for it is "uncultured Clostridiales bacterium partial 16S ribosomal RNA". It matches the Rfam family "Bacterial small subunit ribosomal RNA", at positions 524 to 776 of the family's 1533-position model. The record is from RNAcentral. Lineage: Bacteria; Bacillati; Bacillota; Clostridia; Eubacteriales.
UACGUAGGGGGCAAGCGUUAUCCGGAUUUACUGGGUGUAAAGGGAGCGUAGGUGGCAAGGCAAGUCAGAUGUGAAAACCCGGGGCCCAACCCCGGGAGUGCAUUUGAAACUGUCUGGCUAGAGUGCAGGAGAGGUAAGUGGAAUUCCUAGUGUAGCGGUGAAAUGCAUAGAUAUUAGGAGGAACACCAGUGGCGAAGGCGGCUUACUGGACGGCAACUGACGCUCAGGCACGAAAGUGUGGGUAUCGAACAGG